AAAAUUUCUAAUCAGAUCAUACAUACGAUGCAAGAAGUUCCCCUACAAGAUAUAAAACUAACUUCGUGGGUUUGCACUCGCCCCGGUUUUAUGCUCCUUUCCUGACGGUGAAUCCACGCUCCUCCAGAACGCGUGACCGCAAACCGUUAACGAAAAAGAAUACGAAAAAAAAUAUAUACAUAUACACUCAAUAUUUUCUCUGCUUCUCUUCUUCAACCUUAAACAAUCGAAAACGAAGAGAUCAAUCUCUCUCUCUCUCUCUGAAAAAAGUAAAAAGAAAUCCUCCAAUGGGUCCCUUUCCCAAAUCCCUAACUUUCCUUCAAGUUCCUGCACUUUUCAUUGCUUUCUUCCUCUUUCUCUCUACUCUCUUCCCAUUUUUCGCAGCAUCCCAGCUGUCCAUCUACGACCACCUCCACCAAAACGGCCUCCCCAUUGGCCUCCUCCCUAAGGGCAUUACCGACUUUUCAGUCGAGCCCACCACCGGUCACUUCCAGAUAAAUCUAACCCAACCUUGCAAUGCCAAAUUCGAGAACCAGCUACACUACGAUUUCAACAUUUCUGGACUCCUUUCCUUUGGAAUGAUCGGUGAAUUAUCCGGUGUGUCUCAGCAGGAGCUCUUCCUUUGGUUUCCAGUUAAGGGUAUACGCGUCGAUGUCCCCAGCUCUGGUUUGAUAUACUUUGAUGUUGGAGUUGUGGACAAGCAGUUCUCUUUGUCCUUGUUUGAGAACCCUAUCGAAUGCACUGCUGCUGAUCCUAGUGAUGGGCCCAUUGAUUCGCGGGGAUCGGACGACUCUAGGUAUCAACCAGGAAGGCUUGAAUUUGAAAUGGCGCAAGGGAACUUGAGGGCUGCUUUAUAGAUUGCGGAGACAUAUAUAUAUUUUUAAAGGUUUAGAUGUUGCCUCUGGAUUCUUCAUGCCAAAAGAGACUGCUGGGGAGUUUGGUUUGACAGAUCCUAUGUCUUUUGUAUGUGUGCUUGUUUGCUGUCCUGUACAGAUUUUUAGGCCUGAUACUUCUGAGUUCUGUCUCUGCAUUGAGAAGUAUAGCAGUUUUGACCAAGAGAAGAGAAAAGAACAGUUAAUAAGCAUCGGAUCUUAUUUUGCAUGAAGAUUCGUGAGAUGAGGACCCUUAUUUUCAGCUGGUAAGUUUGCUGGAGAUUUACUUGGUUGCUGUUGUCAUACCACUAUACAUACAGAUGUAUGAGCGUGUUGCAAUUGUGUUGUUGUAAAUGGAGAGAAUUGUUUGUGUUUGUACAUUGUUAUCAUUAAGUGUCAGUCACAUGUGAUAAACUAAACUACCAUUAAAUUAUGUCUUCACGUGUGUUGGCUGUUUUUGUUCCUCAACUUUUUAUUCUUAUAUUGGCAGUCACGGUUAUCUGAUGUUUUAGUCGCUUUUAUUAUGCCUAUAGCCAUCAUGACACCAAACCUAUUCCUAACUGCCUGUCUGCCUGCCGCGUUGGUCUGUACCAUCUUUCUAAGGGGCUUGAUCCUGUGAAUUGCAUUUAUCUCUACGGUAGAAAGAGUGAUAGCAUGUUUUUCAGCUAUAAUGGAAUAAAAAUGAAAUCGUAUGAUGAAUGAGAAUUUUGUUCCCUUGCCUUGAAACAAAGAAUUCAACAGUUGCUACAACGGAAUUAAAGGAUCGUUGAUAAGCUUGCUUAUAGAAAGCUGAUGUAUGUGCCGAUUUACCUGCCAAUCAAUGCUCUGAAACUUCACAUUGGGGCGCACUUUCUCAUUAGCCCUGAUUGGGAUGAGUGAUGUCCUAGUUAGAUAUUGGAGUUGGGUGGCCAUGCUGUGUGAGUUCAUUAUUUACUGGAUUGCUGCCUUGGAUUUGACCAAAAAUAGAAAGCACUAUGAUCAGUGUGGAAAUGUCUUUAGGAUGUCAGGAAGACUAUAUUCUGUGAAGCUAACCGAAAGAUUAAUACGAGAAUGAAGUGAGGUGGCUGAUGACUUGCGAGAACUGCAGGUUUUUUCCCCGUUGCAAGGAUAGAGUUUAUUAAGUUGGUUUCUAAUUCUUGGCUGUUUUCAUCUCAAUAGAAAUGAACGGCUGUGGAUUAUGUCAUUUUUUCAUUUGAAGUUUGUUUUCUGAAGAGAAUUAAGGUUUCUGAUAGGCAGGGACAAGAUUAACCAUUCAUUAAUGGAAUUGAAGAUUUUAAAUUUGUCUCUGUAUACGUUUU
This 2170-nucleotide unclassified non-coding RNA is filed under the name Hevea brasiliensis (rubber tree). Lineage: Eukaryota; Viridiplantae; Streptophyta; Magnoliopsida; Malpighiales; Euphorbiaceae. The record is from RNAcentral.